UUUGCCAAGUCAGGAGAGAGUUGAUGUAACAAGCGUCAACCGCCGAAGGCGCAGCGCAGCUGAUUGCAGCUGUUUGAACGCUCAGGCAAAAGGACUGACAAACGUUU
RNAcentral lists this non-coding RNA (107 nucleotides) under Comamonadaceae bacterium. Its description in RNAcentral is "Glycine sequence". It matches the Rfam family "Glycine riboswitch aptamer". Rfam says of the family: This family represents the bacterial glycine riboswitch. The record is from RNAcentral. Lineage: Bacteria; Pseudomonadati; Pseudomonadota; Betaproteobacteria; Burkholderiales; Comamonadaceae.